UACGUAGGGUGCAAGCGUUACUCGGAAUUAUUGGGCGUAAAGCGCAUGUAGGUGGUUUUCUAAGUUUGAUGUGAAAUCCCUGGACUCAAUUCAGGAACUGCAUUGAAUACUGGAAGACUAGAGUAUGGGAGAGGUAGGCGGAAUUCCUGGUGUAGAGGUGAAAUUCGUAGAUAUCAGGAGGAACAACAGAGGCGAAGGCGGCUUACUGGACCAUAACUGACACUGAGAUGCGACAGUGUGGGGAGCAAACAGG
This 253-nucleotide ribosomal RNA is filed under the name uncultured bacterium. RNAcentral describes it as "partial 16S ribosomal RNA". It matches the Rfam family "Bacterial small subunit ribosomal RNA", at positions 524 to 776 of the family's 1533-position model. The record is from RNAcentral.